UAGCUCAGAGGUUAAGAGCACUGGCUGCUCUUCCAGAGGUCCUGGGUUCAAUUCCCAG
Transfer RNA from Neotoma lepida (desert woodrat), 58 nucleotides. It matches the Rfam family "tRNA", at positions 8 to 63 of the family's 71-position model. From Rfam's summary of the family: Transfer RNA (tRNA) molecules are approximately 80 nucleotides in length. The record is from Rfam. NCBI's taxonomy places the organism in Eukaryota, Metazoa, Chordata, Mammalia, Rodentia, Cricetidae.